This 594-nucleotide long non-coding RNA is filed under the name Equus asinus (donkey). RNAcentral describes it as "lncRNA (ENSEASG00005031645.1)". Lineage: Eukaryota; Metazoa; Chordata; Mammalia; Perissodactyla; Equidae. The record is from RNAcentral.
UUCUGCUGAGACCUGCAGGGAUGAGGCAAAAUCUCUGUGGGUGAAGAAUCUUCCUAAGGGUGAGGCCAUUCACCCAGAUAAAGACCGGACUCCUCAGACAGGAAACAGGAAGUGGAGACUGGGCUAGCUGGAAGAGACAUUGCAGGCUCCUUUUCCUUGGUCUUUGCUUCAAGAAACCUAAAUGCCUAUGAGUUCACUCCUGAGCAUUGUUGGUUAAAGAUGAUCAUGGUCGUUGGGCAAAACCCGGGCUCUGGACAGAAGGAGACCCCUGAGGGGCAUCACAGGCUAAAGAAAACGCUAAUUGAGGAGGAGAUCACUGAGGAGCUGAGAAGCCUCCAAUCCAUCUGAAGCUGUCCACAGGGCGCAAGCUGGUGAAACCAUAGAAAUACAAAAGGCUCCAAAACAUGUUAAAACACAGCACCGCUGACGUGCAGAGAGCAGAUGGCAACACACAACCCCACAGCCCACAGCCGAAGGUCCUAACAUCUCAGUAACCUGUUCUGGAAUCCACUAGGAAGAAAGCCUGAAGCCUCGUGUCCCUUCUCCCCAAGAGUGAGCUGUGUUGAUUUAUUCCAGGCAGAUGCUUUUGACAAG